ACGGAAGGCAGCAGUGGGGGAUAUUGCACAAUGGGGGAAACCCUGAUGCAGCGACGCCGCGUGAGUGAAGAAGUAUUUCGGUAUGUAAAACUCUAUCAGCAGGAAAGAUAAUGACGGUACCUGACUAAGAAGCACCGGCUAAAUACGUGCCAGCAGCCGCGGUAAUACGUAUGGUGCAAGCGUUAUCCGGAUUUACUGGGUGUAAAGGGAGCGCAGACGGCAUGGCAAGCCAGAUGUGAAAGGCAGGGGCUCAACUCCUGGACUGCAUUUGGAACUGUCAAGCUAGAGUAUCGGAGAGGUAAGUGGAAUUCCUAGUGUAGCGGUGAAAUGCGUAGAUAUUAGGAGGAACACCAGUGGCGAAGGCGGCUUACUGGACGAUAACUGACGUUGAGGCUCGAAAGCGUGGGGAGCAAACAGGAUUAGAUACCCUGGUA
RNAcentral lists this ribosomal RNA (434 nucleotides) under uncultured Clostridium sp. Its description in RNAcentral is "partial 16S ribosomal RNA". It matches the Rfam family "Bacterial small subunit ribosomal RNA", at positions 341 to 792 of the family's 1533-position model. The record is from RNAcentral. Lineage: Bacteria; Bacillati; Bacillota; Clostridia; Eubacteriales; Clostridiaceae.